RNAcentral lists this transfer RNA (65 nucleotides) under Hybos culiciformis. Its description in RNAcentral is "tRNA-Arg". Lineage: Eukaryota; Metazoa; Arthropoda; Insecta; Diptera; Hybotidae. The record is from RNAcentral.
GAAUAUGAAGCGAUAUCGCAAUUAGUUUCGACCUAAUCUUAGGUAAUAAUUUAUACCCUUAUUCU